AUUGAACGCUGGCGGCAUGCCUUACACAUGCAAGUCGAACGGCAGCAUGAUCUAGCUUGCUAGAUUGAUGGCGAGUGGCGCACGGGUGAGUAAUACAUCGGAACGUGCCCUGUUGUGGGGGAUAACUCGUCGAAAGAUUAGCUCAUACCGCAUACGACCUGAGGGUGAAAGUGGGGGACCGCAAGGCCUCAUGCUCUAGGGACGGCCGAUGUCUGAUUAGCUAGUUGGUGGGGUAAAGGCCCACCAAGGCGACGAUCAGUAGCUGGUCUGAGAGGAUGAUCAGCCACACUGGAACUGAGACACGGCCCAGACUCCUACGGGAGGCAGCAGUGGGGAAUAUUGGACAAUGGGGGCAACCCUGAUCCAGCAAUGCCGCGUGUGUGAAGAAGGCCUUCGGGUUGUAAAGCACUUUUGUCCGGAAAGAAAACGCACUUACUAAUAUUAGGUGGGGAUGACGGUACCGGAAGAAUAAGCACCGGCUAACUACGUG
This 490-nucleotide ribosomal RNA is filed under the name uncultured bacterium. Its description in RNAcentral is "partial 16S ribosomal RNA". It matches the Rfam family "Bacterial small subunit ribosomal RNA", at positions 30 to 507 of the family's 1533-position model. The record is from RNAcentral.